Molecule: unclassified non-coding RNA, 253 nt
Filed under: Hevea brasiliensis (rubber tree)
Lineage: Eukaryota; Viridiplantae; Streptophyta; Magnoliopsida; Malpighiales; Euphorbiaceae
Source: RNAcentral
GAUGGGAUGGCGUUUGUCAUUUUGAUGCAUGUGGGAUUGAGAAGGGAGCAUUUCAUUUGCUGGUUUUUGCCAAAAAUAUCUUGGACUGGAAAAAUGUUGGUCCGGACGGAGGAGGAGCUCAACUGGAUUUCUGGACUUCUGACUUGAGAUUGUCAUGUUGCACUUAAGCAAGUUUUUCUGCUCACCUUACUGAAAAGUUAUGCGCCUUCAUGUGUGUAACAAAAGCUUGAUUAGCAGGGAGCAUUUCAUUAGU